AGAUUGAACGCUGGCGGCGUGCCUAACACAUGCAAGUCGAGCGGUAACAGGUGUAGCAAUACAUGCUGACGAGCGGCGAACGGGUGAGUAAUGCUUCGGAAUCUACCUUAUGGUGGGGAAUAACUAGCCGAAAGGUUAGCUAAUACCGCAUACGUCCUACGGGAGAAAGCAGGGGAUCGCAAGACCUUGCGACCAAAAAGAUGAGCCGAAGUCGGAUUAGCUAGUUGGUAGGGUAACGGCCUAACCGAAGGCGACGAUCCGUAGCGUGGUCUGGAGAGGACGACCAGCCACACUGGAACUGAGACACGGUCCAGACGUCCUACGGGAGGCAGCGAGGUGGGGAAUAGUUAGGACGAAGUAGGGGGAAACCUGAUCCAGCGACGCCGCGUGUGUAGGAAGAACGGCCGUGGCGGGUUAGUAAAGC
This 424-nucleotide ribosomal RNA is filed under the name uncultured soil bacterium. RNAcentral's name for it is "bacterial SSU rRNA". It matches the Rfam family "Bacterial small subunit ribosomal RNA", at positions 26 to 431 of the family's 1533-position model. The record is from RNAcentral.